RNAcentral lists this ribosomal RNA (429 nucleotides) under Pseudomonadota bacterium. Its description in RNAcentral is "Proteobacteria bacterium partial 16S ribosomal RNA". It matches the Rfam family "Bacterial small subunit ribosomal RNA", at positions 355 to 776 of the family's 1533-position model. Lineage: Bacteria; Pseudomonadati; Pseudomonadota. The record is from RNAcentral.
UGGGGAAUAUUGGACAAUGGGCGAAAGCCUGAUCCAGCCAUGCCGCGUGUGUGAAGAAGGUCUUCGGAUUGUAAAGCACUUUAAGUUGGGAGGAAGGGCAGUAAGCGAAUACCUUGCUGCUUUGACGUUACCGACAGAAUAAGCACCGGCUAACUCUGUGCCAGCAGCCGCGGUAAUACAGAGGGUGCAAGCGUUAAUCGGAAUAACUGGGCGUAAAGCGCGCGUAGGUGGUUCGUUAAGUUGAAUGUGAAAGCCCCGGGCUCAACCUGGGAACUGCAUCCAAAACUGGCGGGCUAGAGUAGGGCAGAGGGUGGUGGAAUUUCCUGUGUAGCGGUGAAAUGCGUAGAUAUAGGAAGGAACACCAGUGGCGAAGGCGACCACCUGGGCUCAUACUGACACUGAGGUGCGAAAGCGUGGGGAGCAAACAGG